CAGCAGCCACGGGAAUCCGAAGGGGGCUAGCGUUGCUCGGAAUCACUGGGCGUAAAGGGUGCGUAGGCGGGUCUUUAAGUCAGGGGUGAAAUCCUGGAGCUCAACUCCAGAACUGCCUUUGAUACUGAAGAUCUUGAGUUCGGGAGAGGUGAGUGGAACUGCGAGUGUAGAGGUGAAAUUCGUAGAUAUUCGCAAGAACACCAGUGGCGAAGGCGGCUCACUGGCCCGAUACUGACGCUGAGGCACGAAAGCGUGGGGAGCAAACAGGAUUAGAUACCCGUGUAGUCCCUGUCUCUUAUAC
This 301-nucleotide ribosomal RNA is filed under the name uncultured bacterium. RNAcentral's name for it is "partial 16S ribosomal RNA". It matches the Rfam family "Bacterial small subunit ribosomal RNA", at positions 509 to 807 of the family's 1533-position model. The record is from RNAcentral.